UAAUACGGAGGGUGCAAGCGUUAUCCGGAUUCACUGGGUUUAAAGGGUGCGUAGGCGGGCAGGUAAGUCAGUGGUGAAAUCUUCGAGCUUAACUCGGAAACUGCCGUUGAUACUAUCUGUCUUGAAUUUUGUGGAGGUGAGCGGAAUAUGUCAUGUAGCGGUGAAAUGCUUAGAUAUGACAUAGAACACCGAUUGCGAAGGCAGCUCACUACACAACGAUUGACGCUGAGGCACGAAAGCGUGGGGAUCAAACAGGAUUAGAUACCCUGGUAGUCCACGCCCUAAACGAUGAUUACUCGACAUACGUGAUAAACUAUGUGUGUCUGAGCGAAAGCAUUAAGUAAUCCACCUGGGAAGUACGACCGCAAGGUUG
Molecule: ribosomal RNA, 373 nt
Filed under: uncultured bacterium
Lineage: Bacteria
Description: bacterial SSU rRNA
Rfam family: Bacterial small subunit ribosomal RNA
Source: RNAcentral